RNAcentral lists this unclassified non-coding RNA (236 nucleotides) under Hevea brasiliensis (rubber tree). Lineage: Eukaryota; Viridiplantae; Streptophyta; Magnoliopsida; Malpighiales; Euphorbiaceae. The record is from RNAcentral.
CUUCUCUUACAGAGAAGGAGAAGGCCAGGAAGCGGCAAGAGUUGUUAAGUGGGAAGAUGGAGGAGGAAGAUGUGAAGAAGAAAGGAAAAGGAAAGGAGAAGGAAAGUGGGCAUGAUGUGUUGGACAUUCUUGACGAGAGUUUUAAGUGUUCAUUUUGUAUGCAGUUGCCUGAGAGACCAGUUACUACACCAUGUGGGCACAAUUUCUGUUUGAAAUGCUUCCAGAAAUGGAUUGGA